AUGAGUUUGCCGAGGAACUGUGAGUCAAGGAUUUCAUCAGCACGGUUUAGAGGCCAGAGCCUAGUUCCCAAUCCCGAGUCUAUCGUGCAGGAUGGACCGACAUGCACAUUUUACGCAAUUAUUGCAUGCGCGAUCAUGCAGCUCCGACUAACCAUGUUCAAGUUGGGCCUCAUAUGCAACAUCUUCUUUGAUGCGCGUUCUUUCGUUUCUCAGUAUGUCAGGAGGUAUGGACCACUUGAUUGUGAUCCUGGCCCAAGGGAGAAACGGGCUCUGAUCAUGUUCAGGGAUGAAGGCAUACCAGCAUACGACUUCUCUGGUAGCCCUCCAUUCAUCCCCAGACUGAUGAAGAUCAAGGAGUUUACAUCCUUCCCUCCUUUGCCCGAUCCCUCUAGGCCAGGUUCUCAGCUUGUCUUGACUUUUGAGUUCGUUGCUUACCUGAUUCAGCAAGGAAGACCCGUGCUUGGAAGUUUCCCUGUCCGGUUAGAUAAGGACAGUCAGGGUUUUACAGAGUUUGACAAGUUGGGUGAUAAUAUAUAUGACUACUGGUCACCGACACUGCCUUGCGACCCCAACCUGCAGCCUGCAACCCACCUUGUCACUUUUGUGGAUUAUGGUAAGGCUGAAGAUAGACCGUUCUUAAAGUUUGUGAACACUCACGGCCGGACAUGGGGAGCGGAUGGGUUUGGCAAGAUAUUCUUCAGUUCUAUCUAUCAGAGAGACGACACUUUCUGUUUCCACGUCCUGUCAUUCGAUGAGCCCUUACCUUCCUCUUCGCCCCCGUCACAUACGGCCAUCAGUGAUCGGUUCACACUGCCGCCACCACCUACAGUGCAACCGCCAUUUCGCGGUUGGCAUGGUAUUCAAAUCACUGAACCCAUCUAUGAGGCUGUGCAAGUGAGGAAUGUAAAGGUCGCUAAAAUCUCCCUAAGUGCAGCUGUGCAGGACCGUGAGGAGUUAUUUUCCUUUUCAGGAGACACUGAACAUGUGGAUAUGCAGAGUCAUGAUGAAGUGUCUCAAGGCGCAUAUGUGACCUCCAAAUAUGCACAAGGAGCGCAUACCUUACAUCUUCCUUCGCCUGCUCCCGAACAUCAGCCGCGCCCUACUGCCUCUGUUCCACCGGUGAGAACUGUGAAGGUCGCGCAUGUCUCCCUAAGUGCAACUGUGCAAGAUAUUAAGGAAUUCUUUUCCUUUUCAGGAGAUAUAACAUGUCGAUCUGCAGAGUGGUGA
RNAcentral lists this ribosomal RNA (1227 nucleotides) under Triticum aestivum (bread wheat). RNAcentral's name for it is "partial small subunit ribosomal RNA". The record is from RNAcentral. Lineage: Eukaryota; Viridiplantae; Streptophyta; Magnoliopsida; Poales; Poaceae.